RNAcentral lists this ribosomal RNA (1296 nucleotides) under Salmonella enterica subsp. enterica serovar Paratyphi A. Its description in RNAcentral is "partial 23S ribosomal RNA". It matches the Rfam family "Bacterial large subunit ribosomal RNA", at positions 1473 to 2747 of the family's 2925-position model. The record is from RNAcentral. Lineage: Bacteria; Pseudomonadati; Pseudomonadota; Gammaproteobacteria; Enterobacterales; Enterobacteriaceae.
CGGAGAAGGCUAUGUUGGCCGGGCGACGGUUGUCCCGGUUUAAGCGUGUAGGUGUGUGUUCCAGGUAAAUCCGGUUCACUUUAACACUGAGGCGUGACGACGAGGCACUACGGUGCUGAAGCAACAAAUGCCCUGCUUCCAGGAAAAGCCUCUAAGCAUCAGGUAACAUCAAAUCGUACCCCAAACCGACACAGGUGGUCAGGUAGAGAAUACCAAGGCGCUUGAGAGAACUCGGGUGAAGGAACUAGGCAAAAUGGUGCCGUAACUUCGGGAGAAGGCACGCUGACACGUAGGUGAAGUGAUUUACUCAUGGAGCUGAAGUCAGUCGAAGAUACCAGCUGGCUGCAACUGUUUAUUAAAAACACAGCACUGUGCAAACACGAAAGUGGACGUAUACGGUGUGACGCCUGCCCGGUGCCGGAAGGUUAAUUGAUGGGGUCAGCGCAAGCGAAGCUCCUGAUCGAAGCCCCGGUAAACGGCGGCCGUAACUAUAACGGUCCUAAGGUAGCGAAAUUCCUUGUCGGGUAAGUUCCGACCUGCACGAAUGGCGUAAUGAUGGCCAGGCUGUCUCCACCCGAGACUCAGUGAAAUUGAACUCGCUGUGAAGAUGCAGUGUACCCGCGGCAAGACGGAAAGACCCCGUGAACCUUUACUAUAGCUUGACACUGAACAUUGAGCCUUGAUGUGUAGGAUAGGUGGGAGGCUUUGAAGUGUGGACGCCAGUCUGCAUGGAGCCGACCUUGAAAUACCACCCUUUAAUGUUUGAUGUUCUAACGUGGACCCGUUACCCGGGUUGCGGACAGUGUCUGGUGGGUAGUUUGACUGGGGCGGUCUCCUCCUAAAGAGUAACGGAGGAGCACGAAGGUUGGCUAAUCCUGGUCGGACAUCAGGAGGUUAGUGCAAUGGCAUAAGCCAGCUUGACUGCGAGCGUGACGGCGCGAGCAGGUGCGAAAGCAGGUCAUAGUGAUCCGGUGGUUCUGAAUGGAAGGGCCAUCGCUCAACGGAUAAAAGGUACUCCGGGGAUAACAGGCUGAUACCGCCCAAGAGUUCAUAUCGACGGCGGUGUUUGGCACCUCGAUGUCGGCUCAUCACAUCCUGGGGCUGAAGUAGGUCCCAAGGGUAUGGCUGUUCGCCAUUUAAAGUGGUACGCGAGCUGGGUUUAGAACGUCGUGAGACAGUUCGGUCCCUAUCUGCCGUGGGCGCUGGAGAACUGAGGGGGGCUGCUCCUAGUACGAGAGGACCGGAGUGGACGCAUCACUGGUGUUCGGGUUGUCAUGCCAAUGGCACUGCCCGGUA